Molecule: ribosomal RNA, 719 nt
Filed under: Bacillus sp. (in: firmicutes)
Lineage: Bacteria; Bacillati; Bacillota; Bacilli; Caryophanales; Bacillaceae
Description: bacterial SSU rRNA
Rfam family: Bacterial small subunit ribosomal RNA
Source: RNAcentral
CGGCGGACGGGUGAGUAACACGUGGGCAACCUGCCUAUAAGACUGGGAUAACUUCGGGAAACCGGAGCUAAUACCGGAUACGUUCUUUUCUCGCAUGAGAGAAGAUGGAAAGACGGUUUACGCUGUCACUUAUAGAUGGGCCCGCGGCGCAUUAGCUAGUUGGUGAGGUAAUGGCUCACCAAGGCGACGAUGCGUAGCCGACCUGAGAGGGUGAUCGGCCACACUGGGACUGAGACACGGCCCAGACUCCUACGGGAGGCAGCAGUAGGGAAUCUUCCGCAAUGGACGAAAGUCUGACGGAGCAACGCCGCGUGAACGAAGAAGGCCUUCGGGUCGUAAAGUUCUGUUGUUAGGGAAGAACAAGUACCAGAGUAACUGCUGGUACCUUGACGGUACCUAACCAGAAAGCCACGGCUAACUACGUGCCAGCAGCCGCGGUAAUACGUAGGUGGCAAGCGUUGUCCGGAAUUAUUGGGCGUAAAGCGCGCGCAGGUGGUUCCUUAAGUCUGAUGUGAAAGCCCACGGCUCAACCGUGGAGGGUCAUUGGAAACUGGGGAACUUGAGUGCAGAAGAGGAAAGUGGAAUUCCAAGUGUAGCGGUGAAAUGCGUAGAGAUUUGGAGGAACACCAGUGGCGAAGGCGACUUUCUGGUCUGUAACUGACACUGAGGCGCGAAAGCGUGGGGAGCAAAGAGGAUUAGAUACCCUGGUAGUCCACGCC